This 22637-nucleotide long non-coding RNA is filed under the name Malus domestica (apple). RNAcentral's name for it is "long non-coding RNA (MDOM_LNC001564)". The record is from RNAcentral. Lineage: Eukaryota; Viridiplantae; Streptophyta; Magnoliopsida; Rosales; Rosaceae.
UGCCAACCAGUUUCUUUAAUGGUAGCACUUUUGAUCUGACGGCAACACCUAGUUCCUCUGUCAACAUUGUAGCGUUCAUCCUCUGCUCCGCAUAGAGUGGCCAAACCAUCAUCGGUACUCCAUUGGUGAUGCUCUCGAGGCUUGAGUUCCAUCCAUAGUGUGAUCAAAAUACUCUUAUUGAUGGAUGACUUAAAAUGUCCACUUGUGGCGCCCAAAGAGGCACAACCAACCCAACGUUACGGGUCCGGGUCAAGAAUUCUUUGGGCAAAUAGGUUGAUGGGUCAUCGUCUCGGUUUCCUUAAAUAAAGAUAUUAAAUUUAAGUGAAAGUAUCGAUUGUAACACAAUAUCAAUAAUUUAUCAAAUACUAUAAAUUAGUACAUUUACGCAGAUAAGAGUUUCUAUGAAGGUAACAAAUAAAAAUUGAUGAUAUAUAUUUGGUAAGUUUGAAAAUCACCUGAAGUGAAAAAAGCAGCAUCUAUGGAUUUAGCUGGUGGUAGUACAACCCAAAUGAAUCUUUGUUUACUCAACUCCAAACCCCAAGCCAUUUUUAUCAUCUGCUCCAAGGACACAGUCCCUCCACUCCCUAAUGACAUAAAUAUCACAGAUUCACAAGGUCGCUUGUCUAGCCAAUUAAACAAGCCCUCAUCCCUUAGACCGGUUGAGGUUGAAUCGGUUGUUUGGACCGGCUUCGUCAAUGGUCCAAUAGGAUAAACUGGCACCCUAGCCACUCUGCCCAAGAGUCCCUCAUCCCGUAACAUAUCUAUUGUUUUGUGCUCCAAGUCCUCCCAUGUGUUCAUCAAAAUCCCAUCACUCUUCGGGAAAUUAGUACAAACUCUUUACGUAUUCCAAAUACUAUUGGUCAGUCCGGUCCAGCAUCGGGUCAACCACGUCUUCGGGCUGAAUGGGCUUGCAACCCAGAAUUCUCAGCGGUUCAGUCUGGUCUACGUACUCUCAUUCCACUUCUUUAUCAAAAACUGGCACGUAGAUAGUCAAAGCUACGAACCAUGUUGUGCUAGCAAUGUAAACAUACUUGGGAAUCCCCAGCUCGUCGCCGAUUGACAGAGAUUCGGUGCUGAAAAGGUCCACAAUAAGCACUGUAGGAAGAAGAGAAUACUUCAUUCCAAGUAUGGCUGACCGAAACGCAGGUCGUACUUCACACAUCAUGACUGCAAGGAGGGUAGCGACAGCAACGUCGGGGCCAAUACAGCCGGAAAUGUCUGGCGGUGGGAGUUCAAUAAUGUCAAAAAGUUUGGGGGUGGCGGCUGCCUUGAGGAGCUCAGACUCAGUCUUGGAAGCAGGAGAUGGGAUGGCAAAAAUCGUCACGGUGAAAUUCCGGUGGGUGAGAAGUCGUUUUGCGAGUUCGAGGACGGGGAUGAGGUGGCCGAGGCCUGGGCUGCAAAGUAUGGCAGCAUGUGGCUGUGAGCUCGUGGUAGACGAAGGGCAAUGGCUUUAGCCAUUAGUGCACCGGUUGAGCUUUAAAAAGGAAAACAAGCAAAUCAAAAUAAUCUUUGGACAAGUUUACUUUUAGAUUAAUACCUUAAUUAAGAUUAAAAAUUAAAUUAAAUUCCUUAACCUCAUGUCCAUAUCAGCAUGCAUAUUCCAACUCGUACUUUAUUUUUAUUUUUGUUUUAGGAUUUUGUUUUGGGAUUUAGAUCCUCUCCUGAGCUAAUGGAGAUGAUCCUUCUGACCAGGCUAUAAUUAUUAUAACUUUAAAGAGGAUCCAAAUCUUAAAAAAGAAAAAAAAUUAAUUAAUUAGAAAACUAUGUUUUAUUUCAAAUAGGAUUUUUAACAAAUUCUAUCAUGCCACAUGUCAUUAUCUAAAAUUAUAAUUUUUCUGAAUAGAUUUUUUAUUAUAUUUUUAACAAAUCCCCGUGGUGCCACGUGUUAUGAUUCUGGAAGAAUUUUAUAGAUAGGUUUUCAAUAAGAAUUUCAACUAAUCUCAUCACGUCAUGUGUCACUAUCCAAGAAUAUCAAGGGAUAACUUUUUUUUAUUUUUUCAAUUUUUAAGUCGAAAAAAUCUGGACCAUUGAUGAUAUAGCCAUUACAUAAUCGAACGGCCCACGAUACACCCCAUGUACUUGUCAUUAAGAAUGAGUUCAAAAUUUUAAAGCUAUUGGAAAUUUAACGGCACCUAAAUUUAGUCGUUGGAAAUUCAACGUACAACAAUUGCCCACGUUGCCCCUAAUUCGGAUGGGUUGAGUGCACCUGCAGAGCAACUUUUUGUUCGGGUCAUUCUUGCUGACUCUUGUGUGAAAGUCCCCACGCUUGACGCAAAAAAAAUAUUAAUGUGGCUGACAUCAAAUGGACUCAGGUGCAUACCCGCGACUUCUAUGUAACUAGAUAAUAGAGAAACUAAUAGAAACUAAGACUGUUUUACGAAAUUAAAAUGAAAUAGUAAGUAAAUAUAAGAGGUUGAAAUGUUUAAUAUGUUGUAUGAAGUUGUAAUUCAACACAAACUUCAAAAUGCAAAAUGUAAAUUACCCUAAGUUUUUAAUAUCUAACCAAGAAAGAAAAGAAUUGGGUCGCAAUAAAAUCGUGGUUAGCUAUCCUUCAUAGUUUGGGUUUUUGAUGUUUAAAGUUGUUCAGAAGGCGCUUUAGUAGUCAAUUUCGAAGCCCUCAGAAACCAUUGGUCUGUUUUAAUAGGGAAAGUAUGAAUAAAGGUCAUAUUUUAUUUCCAAUUUUAAUGUAGCCACUAGUACAGAAAACACUUUGUGCAACUUAGGUCUUUCGUUGCGCAAAGUAAAAAAACGUCGUGCAAAAAUUAGCCCAACGAACCUUCAUCGCACGCCAACGGUCGCGCCAAGGCAAUGACAACAUGACACACCCCGACCCAGAGUAUCCACUAGGAUUCCGACUCGAGUCGUGCUAGCCGACACCUGGAAGAUGACGAAGCCAUAAAGUGUGAUAACGUGGAAAAAGUGAAUAAAUUUAAACCUAAGAGUGCCUAAAUACCAGAGUAUGCUAGUGAACGGGAACGAACCCACUUCACACGUGACGUUAAAGCAUAAGUAAGUACAGUAGAGUGGAUAAGGAUUUUACCCUCAGAAGUAGCCACCUAUCCUGAGAUUUGCCAAUAAUCCUCGUCGAUACGAACAUUCAACAAUUAAAACCUGGAAGGCUGCCAAACAGAAUAUUUGAGUGGGUAAAAACAAAACGUUUGAAACCAUAAUUAUCUUUAUAGUAAUCCUCUUUGCAAAACUGUAUAAUUUCUGAGAAUUCACUAUGUAUAAGUAUGAUAUCAAAUGUACGCUAACAUUAAAUCCAGAAGUAUACCAUAACACAGCAGCUCAACAGAAAUAUAAAUAAUUGUCUGCUUAAUAAUCCAUACUAGUACGCAAGUCGGAGUCACCUAUGGUGACCUGUACAACUGCACCCAUAUCUCAUCAAUCAAUGCUAGAACAUAAGUCGGAGUCACUUAUAGUGACCUGUACGACUUAUCCAUAUGUCAUCAAUCAAUUCUAGCUCAUAACGGAGUCACCUAUAGUGACCUGUACGACUUAUCCAUAUCUUAUCAGUCAAUGAUAGCUCAUAAGUCGGAGUCAUUUAUAGUGACCUGUACGACUUAUCCAUAGCUCAUCACAUAUCCCUGCACACGAGUCGGAACCACCUAUAGUAGUCUCUACGACAAGACUAGGUGUAAAUAAGUACGCUCAAGUGCUACGAUCAUGUGAAGAGUGUGUGAAUAAAUGCGGGUUACCUACGAGUCGGAACCACCUAUAGUGGUCUGUAUGACAGGACUGUGCACCUACCUUGGAUCCAAGGUGAGCAUAAAGUGCGGGAGGUGAACAUCACGUGAAGGACUGUGCCCUGGCCAUGAGCGGGAGCACUAACACCGAGGUGCAGGUUUAUGAGCUCUAAAUGAAUCUAUUGUAACAUAUAUGACUCAUGGGUAACCUGUACGAUAGUGUCGGAGUUGCCUAAAACUUACAUGUAGUCAUACCAUAACUCCAUCAUUUCUACUAAUACCAUAAACUCACAUGAACUUACCUGGGUGUCCUGCGUUCACCUUUGCACUUCAAAGCAUUCAUAAUAAUUAUGUGCAUGUAAUAUUGUUGACCCUAAAAACUACUAAGCCUACGUGGCCUUCGGUGAAUGCGGGGCGUGCCAACUCGUCGGUCGAGCUCGGCCAAGGAGUAAAUUUGUUGAUGUUGCGUUGGGUGCGCUGCUGACUUCCGAAUCUCGCGACUACGGCCGAGGAAGGAACACUCUUGGCCUUCGGGUUCUAGAGCUUGAAGACAAGGCUGCUAGUUCUGCAAAGUUCAAUAUCAAAUUCGGCUUUCAAUAUGCCGAAUGUAAUAACUUGUAACACCUCACUUCGCCAAGAAGGCUAAUGAGAUGACCUCGACCAAUAAGGAUUCAGAAAUCCUUCUCGACCGAGACUUGGAUAGAUAACCAACCGUCCUCGCCGUAGUGUUGUUGAUGCCAACGAAAGAUGCUACGAGAUCGGCUGAUUAUACGGCGACAGAGCUAUCUAUGCCAACUGAAGAUAUCAUCGGUUGCUUUCACAGUGCUGUUGAUGUCAACAGAAGAUGUGUCAGCGAAAAGAGAAAAUAAAAAUCUCAAGUUGUUGAGAGAGUUUGCGCAGGGCAGUUGUGUGUUGAAUUGGAAGUCCUUAAAUGUUGCACGGCAUCUUGUAUUUAUAGGGAUGAGUUAGCAGUUCUAUAUGUGCUUCGCGCGUACCAUCCGUAGCUGGCCACAACUUGAACCCCCUGAAGAUAAGCAUUCCAUACAAAUAAAAACUCUUGAUAGCCAUCCCAACGUCAAUUAGCCGUUUAACAAUGACCCAUCAUCAUUGGCUAUUGGCCAUUGGAUUUGACGAAACCAAGUCAAUUUGCAUAGACAUGAAACUCUUCCUAUAGCAUCAUGAGAAACCAUGCAAUAUUAGUACCCAUAUUCAUGUCUAGGUGCAUUAGCCCAUGCUGUGCUUCCACCUGAAGGAUAUGCUAAUUAUUAGCAUAUAUUUCUAUGCUAACAAUUAUCCUAAAUCAGAAUAUGCCGCACCAUUAUCUCAGAUAGCACCACUAAUCAAAAGGUAACCUUCAUGCAUGGUUAACCGACUCCAAGCAUACGUCUAAAUGCCGAGAAUCCCAAAUCAAAUCAAACUACAUAGCUCGCUUUCAAGUUGGAGAUAUAAUUUGCAUCCUAUUUAUCCCGUAUGAGAGAAUUUCAAGAUAAUUCAUAUUAAAAGAUAAUUAUUAUGAUAAAACCAUAAUAUUAUCCUUUAAUAAUAAUAAUAAAAUUAUCUUCACUUUUCCAUCCAAUGGUUGGAAGCUAUGCUCACUCAACAGCCUUGACUACACGGACCGAUGGUGUAAAUUCGGGUCCAAACAAAUAUACAUAUAGAUAAACCAUGAUGCAAUCUGAUACUCAACCAUGUUAUAGCAUUUCCAUUUACACACACACACACACACACACACACACACACAUAUAUAUAUAUAUAUAUAUAUAUAUAUAUAUAUAUAUAUAUAUAUAUAUAUAUAUAUAUAUAUAUAUAUAUAUAUAUAUAUAUAUCUCACAUUUUCUACCAAUGUCCCUCACAUUGCUUAAUUCCCUAAACAAGGCUAUUGUCUCAAUUAUUUAGUCUCAUUUAUUGUAUGGUUGCAUCUAACGUCUCGUUAGACUGCCUACGUACCCUAAACAGGGAUUAAGCCAUUCGUAGUUCACAUUAGUACUUCAAAGCAUUCACAGUAAUUAUAUGCAAUAAUCAAUUUAUAACCGUUUGUGGAAUUAUCAAUCAUAUAUAUAUACCAUAUAAAGGAAAAGACCCACUUACUUGAGGUCCACGCUAAGACUCCCUAGCACGCAUACCGAGACAUCACGAACCAUCGUCGCCUAUGACCAAUUAUCAAAUCACAUCUCAGAGUUCAUACCGAUAAAAUACACAAUUUACAUAAAACAAACCCUACGUAAUUCAAUUCGGAAGAUAACAGAUUUCCGAUCCGUUGCUUCCAAAGAUCCACAUUAUACUUCUAGAACAACAUUCUAAAGUCCCAUUACGAUCCAACGGUCGGAUCUCUGCCAAUUGUCAAAACCAAGUGGCAAUUAACCUUUUAUUUUAUGAACUUACAAAUCCAAUUCGGGAAGAUCCGUAUAUCGGAUUCCUGACCCGUAAGUUCCUAUGGUCCUCAAAUAUUACGUACUAUAACGUAUUAAAGUUUGGUGACGAUCCGACGGUUGGAUCGUCGAUUCAUACAAUGACCUAUUAACGUAACGUAGAGAAUUUAGAUUCCAACGAUCAACCUACAUCAUACAACUACCAAAAAUGAACUCGAGACAUCUAAUUAGCCUAAGAUUAACAUCAACGGCCCCGGCCACGCGCCGCCGUGGGUAGUGGUCGGCCGUCCCGAACCGCCGAAAAAUCCAACUAUUUCCAAAAAUUACUAAAAUUUACAGAAUUGUAGGUCUCAAUGAGUGAAGCAACUUUCAUACGUGUGACCAAGGCCAAUUAGGCUGAGAAACACCUCAAUUUUACAUAAAUCCGUUGGAAACCUUAAAUAGGGGCUACUUCGAUUCGACCUCCAUGCUCACUCCGACGCCUCCACAAGUGUUUGGGCUUUGUUCCUGAGGUUGAGGGGAGUCUAUUGGUGGUGGUAAUUGGAGGAGGUAGCUUCAAAUCAUGGCAGAAUAGAACCCAACCAGUGCGCCCCUUCUUGUACGGUUUUACCCAAAAUUCACCAAAUUUCCACCCAAUUUUCACAUGAAAAUGGAAAAGGGAUCGGUUGGCCUUGUGGUAAGGGUCAUUUUGACACUAACCUUGUCGUCCAAGGUGGCGAGAGAUGGGAGAAUCCACCGGGUUGGGUCACGAGUUAAGGGAAACUCGAUUUCCCCUUUUUCUUUUCUCCUUCAUUUCCCCUCCUUUCCUUCCUCUGGUUGGUCACCUUCACUCUCUCUCUUCCUUCCCUUGGCCGAAGCUCUCUCUCCCUUCCUCUUUGAUUGGGCAGCCAAUACCCCUUCUUCUUUUUCCCCUUCUCCCCCUGUUUCUUCUUCUCUUUCCCUCAAUUUUUACCAAAGGUAAUCUUAAAAUAAUGUAAUGGUACUUAAGAAAAUAUAUAAAAUAAUAAAUGGUAAUAUCAAUACCCCAAUCCGCUUUUGCUUACGCCUACACAGCCAUAUUGUCGAGUACUACAGAAAUACGCUAAAGGAAUAUUUCAUACGUCUCACUAUACGUUGGUCAACGAAAGUCAAUACCCUCGCCUCUCAGGGCAUUUUCGUAAAUUCACACGUUUAAAAUUUAUAAAAUCAUAGAACUAGGGACGGGUUGUCACACAACAUGGUUUGCACGACGAAGAAGUAACCUAUGUCACUCAAAGUAGUUUUGCACAACGUAGGUUACUUCUUUGUCGCACUAACCCUUUUUUUUGGUAAAAAUAUUUUUUAUUUAAUUUUUAAUAAAUAUUAUAAUUAAAUUCUAAACAAUAAUUAAUAAACCAAGAAAAUUUAUUUAAUUAUAAAAUAUAUAAAAAUGUAUAUACAAGAUGUCCGAACAAAAAAGAAAAAACUACAACAAGUAGUCUUCUAGGUUUGAUGCUUAAUGUUUUCUUCUAUUAUAAAUUCUCUCCAUGUAAGAUUAAUUGGUUAAGCUAAAUUAUCAAUUAAAAUGUACUUUUAUUGAUAAUUUCAGGGAUGUAACACGAUCAUCGGCAUGCCAUGCAUGAGUUAAUUCAGCUUUAAGCUCAUGCAACCGAGAAACAUAUUCCUGGCCCAUGAUGACCUUGCCCCCCUCUUCUGCAAAUUUUUCUAGAUCUUCCAGUUCCUCCAAAUGCAAGCUUGUCGAAGGUUUCUCAUGUGCUGUAAAUUCAUAUCAGUAAAACAAACCAAAGUGACUAUCAUAAUUGCUCAGUUGGGCAACAAAAAUACUUCUGAAAUGAAUACUUGUUCCAAAAAAUUGUAGGAACAAAGCAAAGGAGGCUGACAAAUUUUUCCUACCUUUUGUCAUGUCUAGGGAUGGGCAAAGGUUAUGGUAGAUGGGUAACCGUGGUUAUUUACCCAUAACCAUUUAUGUUCAUACCCGUAUAACCGUUUACCCAUUGGGUAAUACAUAAACAGUUAUACCCAUACCCAUAACCGUUUAUAAACGGUUAACCAUAUCCAUAACCGUAUACCCAUUUAACCAUAACCAUUUACCCGUUUUUGAACCCGUUUAUCCUUUUUUUUUUUACCCAUUUGCCCCUUUUUCACCCGUCUACAUGUUUUCUUUUAACAACUAGAAAAUUAUAAAAGAAAAGUUUGUCAUAAUUUUCGUUAUACCCAUGGUAUGUGCUUACCAAUACAUCGUUAUAACGGGUAUCAAUUUAAAGCAGUUUGUACAAAACCUAGCUAGUUCUGGAAUCACAAAUGCUCGGCUUUCUCCACCAUCUCAUGCUAUUUCAGAUGAUGGUAUGCAUCUGUCCUAAACUCUCUUUCGAACCUUGUCAUUAGUCCAGACCAGAUUUUGUUUUUUAAGUUUUUGUGUAAUAUGACAAUUCUUGUACUGAGGCUUCACCUCAUAGCUUUCCUUUCUACGGAUACAUGCCGAGAAGGCUCUAUGAUCUCAAUACAAAAUAUAUAAACAAAGAUGAAUUAAAGUCACUGGUAAGCACAUACCGCGGCAAUGGAAUACAAUCUGUGGCAGAUAUAGUACCCGUUAUAACCGUUAUAUAUUGAAAAUUACAAUAUAUAAACAAAGAAGACUUUCGUUACAAAAGUAAAAAACAAAAAUAAAGAUUAGUUUUUCAUAUAUUAAAUUAAAUCGGUAAAUGGAUACCCGUUAUAACCGCGGGUAAUACUCAUAACCGCCCAUUUAAAUUUCAUGGAUAAACAGUUAUACCCAUAACCGUAACCGUGAACUUUAAAUUGGUGUAACCGCGGUUACCCAAACCCAUGGGUAUUUUGCCUAUCUCUAGUCAUGUCGGACAUCUGUAAGUGAUAAGAAAAAGGAAAAUAAAAAGUUAGAAGAUAGGUUACAGCUUUCAGUGAGAAACUUAAGGAAGUAAAUAGCUGGAUGAGAAUAGAAGGUAUGGAAAACCAAAAUUUCCUAGAUAGAUAAUAGAGAAACUAAUAGAAAUUGAGAUAGCUGUACGAAAUUGAAAUGAAAUAGUAAGUAAAAGUAUGAGGUUGAAAUAUUAUAAAGGGAGUAAUGCUAGGAAGACUAAAUUUGCAGAUAAAAUUUACAAGCCAAAUUAUGUGUCACCAAUAAGAAAUAAAUAUGUUAAUCAAAACUUAAAUAAUAGUCAAAUUAUCAACAACCACAUCAUAUAAUUUACAAAAUUUGUUUUCAAAUUUAGUUUACCUAGCAUUACCCUUUUAAAAAUGUUGUAUAAGGUUGCAAUUAAUCACAAACUUAAAGAUGCAAAAUGUAAUUUACCCUAACUUUUGAUAUCUAAGUUCUAACGAAGAAAGAAAAGAAUUGGAUCGUAAUCAAAUCGUGAACUGUCCACGGUUUGGGCUUUUGAUGUCUAAAGUUGUUCACGUGGUGCUUCAAUACUCAAUUUCCAAGCCCUCAGACACCACUGGUCUGUUUUAAUAGGGAAAGUAUGAAUAAAGGUCAUAAUCAAUUUCAUCUUUUUAGUGAAGCCCAGCAAAGAUCGAUGUAAAACAAAGAAAUUUUCAAGCUUACCUAAUACCUAUUUAACAAUCCGCAAAACCGAUUUUAAUAUGUUCUUUUGCAUUAGUGUGUAUAUCAAAUUCAAACCAAUAAAGCCAAAACAAACUGAUAGCUACCCUUAAUUAAGAUUUUGUUUGAAAUUUUGUUGUAACAUUACCUUAAGAUUACCCAUUAGUUAUGCAACUAUUAGCUGAUUAUGUCUUUCUAGCAUGUUUAUUGAUAUGAUAUUUACGUAAUUAGGCUUGGCUACGGAGGCUUAUAUUAAAUCCUUUCGUUUAGGACUUAAACCUAUUUAUUGGAGAUGGUCUUACGUCUAUUUGCCAAGCUACCUGCUUCUCGUGAAUUUAACAUGAUUGUUAAAAAAAAUUGGCACUUAGUACUACAGUCUGGUGGUAUUCCUCUUCACUUAGAAGUGAGAGGUCUUAGGUUCGAAUCUCAUGAAUAGAGAAUUCGAUACUAAAUUAGGAUGCCCAUUGUUUAGCUUAACUGAACUCUCCCUUCUUUUAGUGAAAAAAAUAUCAAUGUACUAAAAAAAAAAUUGACUGAACCGAGUUAUGCAGACUUAAAAAAAAUAAAAAAUUGACUGACACAAGUUAUGCAGCAUGAAUAUUCAUCCAUGUAUGAUAACAAAAUAGAUACUUCUUUUUAAAGGGAAAUAUAUAUAUAUAUAUAUAUAUAUAUAUAUAUAUAUAUGUGUGUGUGUGUGUGUGUGUGUGUGUGUGUGUGUGUGUGUGUCUAUAUAAACUUUAAUAUUCAUAACUUCUUCAAUACUCAACGAAAUCAAGUGAUUCAAAAAUGAAAAUCAUACUUCUCGAUGAGACGAAGAGAAUGAUCCUUUUUUGUUGACAGUUAACUAAAGUUAUGAAUGUUUAAAGUUUACCUAGUUUCAGGCGAGUUUUUCAAUUUUCCUUCGGACCAAACAACUUUGCAGCUAUUUUCUGACCAUCUCCCGCAACCAUUGGGCUUCCAAAUAGGUGUAAUCUUAUUCUACACUUUCCUGUCUUCAUUUUGAUAUAUUAUGGGUCGAAUUUGGUUAAGAAACGAUUGAGUUACGAAGCUUUGAAAAUUGCCCAAACUUCCGGCCAAGAGCUCUGGGACACUUAACGGAGUUUUUAACGGAAUGACCAAAAUGAUGGAUGGUGGAAAAUCUCAGGGUCAUUUAUAUUGAUUUGAAAUCUCAGGAAUCAAAAUGAAGAGUUAUGCAAAUCUCAGGAACCAUUUUCGCGAGUUAGCCAUAUAUAUAUAUGUGUGUGUGUGUGUGUGUGUGUGUGACCAGACCAAUUGGUGUGAUUGAGAACAAAAAGAGAACAAAAUUUAUUCUGCACAUGUAAUUUGCCCAAUAGUAGAGAAUACACACCAUUUUGCCAUAUAUCUUAUUGAUGUUUAUACAUCAUCAUACAAUAUUCAAACAGAUUUUUAACUAAAAUGGUUGCUAAGAUUGACCUAAAUCCUCAAUUUGGUCACUAAUAAAGUUUGUUCAUUUUUAUUGUUAAGGACUAAACUGAGAAGUUAAGACAAUUCUCAAGAUUAUUUAGGUUAAAAUGCCUAUUGAAAACAACAAGCAUAUUUGAGAGCCUUCACAUUCUCCAACUCUCCUAGCAUUUUCUUUCAUUGCCACUUGAUAUUUGAGACAGUGCAUUAUAUGACGAACCACCUACGCUCCAUGCUUUGGCAGCACUUAAUUUAAGCCCCUUAACCCUACCUCUUAUGGCCUGACCAUCUUUGUCCACCAUGAUCUUUCUCACCAUUUCCUUUAUCUCUUCCCUGCCAACCAUUUUCUUCGAUGGUAGCACUUUUGAUCUGACGGCAACACCAAGUUCCUCAGUCAACAUUGUAGCGUUCAUCCUCUGCUCCGCAUAGAGUGGCCAAACCAUCAUCGGUACUCCAUUGGUCAUGCUCUCGAGGCUUGAGUUCCAUCCACAAUGUGACCAAAAUCCUCCUAUUGAUGGAUGACUUAAAAUGUCCACUUGAGACACCCAAAGAGGCACAACCAACCCAACGUCAUGAGUCCGGGUCAAGAAUCCUUUGGGCAAAUAGGUUGAUGGGUCAUCGUCUUGAUUUCCUUAAAUAAAAUUACUAAAUGUAAAUGAAGGUAUCGAUUGUAACACAAUAUCAAUAAUUUAUCAAAUACUACAAAUUAGUACAUUACAUAUAUAAGAAUUUCUAUGAAGAUAACAAUUAAAAUUUGAUGAUAUAUAUUAGGUAAGUUUGAAAAUUACCUGAAGUGAAAAAAGCAGCAUCUGCGGAUCUAGCCGGUGGUCGUACAACCCAAAUGAAUCUUUGUUGACUCAAUUCCAAACCCCAAGCCAUUUCUGUCAUCUGCUCCAAGGACACAGUCCCUCCACUCCCUAAUGACACAAAUAUCACAGAUUCACAAGGUUGCUUGUCUAGCCAAUUAAACAAGCCUUCAUCCCUUAUACCGGUUGAGGUUGAACCGGCUGAUUGGACCUGCCUCGUCAAUGGUCCAAUGGGAUAAACUGGCACCUUAACCACUCUGCCCAAGAGUCCCUCAUCCCGUAACGCAUCUAUUGUUUUGUGCUCCAAGUCUUCCCAUGUGUUCAUCAAAAUCCCAUCACUCUUCGGGAAAUUAGUAUCUAUCCUUACAUAUUCCAAAUAUUGUUGGUCAAUCCGGUCCAGCAUCGGGUCAACCACGUCUUCGGGCUGAACGGGCUUGCAACCCGGAAUUCUCAGCGGUUCAGUCUGGUCCACAUACUCUCCUUCCACUUCUUUAUCAAAAACUGGCACGUAGACAGUCAAGGCUACGAACCAUGCAGUGCUAGCAAUGUAAACGUACUUAGGAAUCCCCAGCUCGUCGCCAAUGGACAGAGAUUCGGUGCUGAAGAGGUCAACGAUAAGCACUGUAGGACGAAGAGAAGACUCCAUUCCAAGUAUGGCUGACCGAAACGCAGGUCGUGCUUCACGCAUCAUGACAGCAAGGAGGGUAGUGACAGCAGCAUCGGGGCCAACACAGCCGGAAAUGUCGGGCGGUGGGAGUUCAAUAAUGUCAAAAAAUUUAGGGGUGGCGGCUGCCUUGAGGAGCUCAGACUCAGUCUUGGAAGUAGGAGAUGGGAUGGCGAAGAUCGUCACGGUGAAAUUCCGGUGGGUGACAAGUCGUUUUGCGAGUUCGAAGGCGGGGAUAAGGUGGCCGAGGCCUGGGCUGCAAAGUAUGGCAGCAUGUGGCUGUGAACUCAUGGUAGACGGAGAGCGAUGGCUUUAGCCCUUAGUGCACCAGUUGGGGUUUUUUUUUUUUUUUUGAACAAUUGCGCAUGGCAGUUUGUGUGUUGAACUGGAGUCCCUUAAUGUUGCACAGCCUUCAUGUAUUUAUAACGUUGGAUAUCUACCUGGCACAACCUGAUGGUGCUUGUAGAGUCCAAUUGCAAUUCUUUUCCACGGAACAAAAACUAAUCCACAUCAAAGAACUACCAUAUCCUUCAAAUAGAUGUUCACGAUUUUCCAAACUUCACAAAAGCCUAUCCAAAUAAAAGUCUUAUCACCAUAGCCUAGCCUAUCUAGGCUUGUCAUCGUUAUCCAAGACUAUUAAAUCUUAGACUUAUCACAUCACCAUAAAAAACCAAGCCUAUCUAGACUUCUCCAUAAUCCAUCCAUGCAUGCACCAUGACUUUUCAAACCUCAUCUACCAAGUUUCUCCAAUCUAAUAGCAAUAAUCCCAAGUUCACUCGAAUUGUACUUGUUCGUAGAUAUAAUGCUAAGAUAAUCCAAAUUACAAAAUAAUUACUAUGACAAAAACCAUAAUAUUAUCCUUUAACAAAAAUAUCUUCACUUUUCUAUCCGACGAUUGAAAAAUAUGCUUACUCAACGGCCUUGAUUACACAGGCCGAUGGUGUAAAUUUGGGUCCAAACAAAUGCAUUUUAUAAUUAACUCAUUUUCCCAAUACAAAUCUCAUAAAGAAAAUGAAACAUAAAAUCAAAAGUUUGUAUUUCUUUAAUGGCCUAUUUGCUUCACUUUAACUAGCAUAUGGGCACACGCACAAUUUUUUAUUUUUGUUUUUGAAAUAGAAGAAGAGAGGAAGAGAGGAAGAGAGUGAUAGAGAAUGUGGGAGUGAGAAUUUUUUUUUUUUUUUAAUUAGAGAUGUUAGGAUUACAUGUAGGUGAUGUUUUGAAAAAAAACAACAAAAUUUGGUUUUGUGAAAUUUCAUUUUUGCCUCAUAUUUCUUAUUCAUAUUUUGUUUUAAUUAAAGUGUUAAACUGAUAAUUUCAUAGGAUUUUGGUUGACAAUGAAUGUUUUAUUAAUUAGUAAAGAUGAUCUAGGUUGCAAUCACCAAUAAUUUAAAAGAAAAUAUAAAUUUGCCCUCUCACAUAGAGCUAAGUGCAGUAUAGCGACAGCGACGGUAACACACUUGAAUUUCAUUUAAACAUUUUGUCAAAUACCUUCGGUGCAAAUUUUAAGGGACAAAUUCUUAAUGUUUCAUGAAUCUUUUUUACGACCGAAAGGACGACCGCCCCUCUUGCUCUAUAUGGCCACCGCUCAAAGAUGACAGAUAUUAACUGGCAAGGAAAGCCAAGUCUCGUGGCAAUUUUUAUCUUUAUUUGAAGAGGUGACAAAUACUUUUCUGUAGGGGAGCUUUCUGGGUGUCGUUGAUUGCGUAUUAUUUCAAGAGGCGUAUUCAUAUGAAAUGCUACUGAAGGAUCGGCAUCAGUGAUAGGUACAAUCAUAUUUAUCUCUUUCAUUCCUCUUAAAAUAUCUUUCUAUGAUAUGUUACCGAGAAAUAAAACUAUGACAAUCAGAUCAAUAAUUUUCUUCUGGUUAAUUUAAUUUCAUAUUUUCUUUUAAUUUCUUACAUAUGAGUAAAUAUGAGAAAUGUUGGAAUGAAAUUGAAUCCAUAAUCUUAUUGAUGUUUGUACAUCAUCAUACAAUAUUCAAACAGAUUUUUAACUAAAAUGGUUGUUGAGAUUGACCUAACUCCUCAAUUUGGUCACUAAUAAAGUUUGUUCAUUUUUAUUGUUAAGGACUAAACUGAGAAGUUAAGACAAUUCUCAAGAUCAUUUAGGUUAAAAUUCCUAUUGAAAACAACAAGCAUAUUUGAGAGCCUUCACAUUCUCCAACUCUCCUAGCAUUUUCUUUCAUUGCCACUUGAUAUUUGAGACAGUGCAUUAUAUGACGAACCACCUACACUCCAUGCUUUUGCAGCACUUAAUUUAAGCCCAUUAACCCUACCUCUUAUUGCCUGACCAUCUUUGUCCACCAUGAUCUUUCUCACCAUUUCCUUUAUCUCUUCUCUGCCAACCACUUUCUUCGAUGGUAGCACUUUUGAUCUGACAGCAACACCAAGCUCCUCAGUCAACAGUGUAGCGUUCAUCCUCUGCUCCCCAUAGAGUGGCCAAACCAUCAUCGGUACCCCAUUGGUGAUGCUCUCGAGGCUUGAGUUCCAUCCACAGUGCGACCAAAAUCCUCCUAUUGAUGGAUUACUUAAAAUGUCCACUUGAGACACCCAAAGAGGCACAACCAACCCAACGUCAUGAGUCCGGGUCAAGAAUCCUUUGGGCAAAUAGGUUGAUGGGUCAUCGUCUUGAUUUCCUUAAAUAAAGUUACUAAAUGUAAGUGAAGGUAUCGAUUGUAACACAAUAUCAAUAAUUUAUCAAAUACUACAAAUUAGUACAUUACAUAUAUAAGAAUUUCUAUGAAGAUAACAAUUAAAAAUUGAUGAUAUAUAUUAGGUAAGUUUGAAAAUUACCUGAAGUGAAAAAAUCAGCAUCUGCGGAUCUAGCCGGUGGUCGUACAACCCAAAUGAAUCUUUGUUGACUCAAUUCCAAACCCCAAGCCAUUUCUGUCAUCUGCUCCAAGGACACAGUCCCUCCACUCCCUAAUGACACAAAUAUCACAAAUUCACAAGGUUGCUUGUCUAGCCAAUUAAACAAGCCCUCAUCCCUUAUACUGGUUGAGGUUGAACCGGCUGAUUGGACCUGCCUCGUCAAUGGUCCAAUGGGAUAAACUGGCACCUUAGCCACUCUGCCCAAGAGUCCCUCAUCCCGUAACGCAUCUAUUGUUUUGUGCUCCAAGUCUUCCCAUCUGUUCAUCAAAAUCCCAUCACUCUUCGAGAAAUUAGUUCCUAUCCUUACAUAUUCCAAAUAUUGUUGGUCAAUCUGGUCCAGCAUCGGGUCAACCACGUCUUCAGGCUGAACGGGCUUGCAACCCGGAAUUCUCAGUGGUUCAGUCUAGUCCACGUACUCUCCUUCCACUUCUUUAUCAAAAACUGGCAUGUAGACAGUCAAGGCUAUGAACCAUGCAGUGCUAGCAAUGUAAACGUACUUAGGAAUCCCAAGCUCGUCGUCGAUAGACAGAGAUUCGGUGCUGAAGAGGUCCACGAUAAGCACUAUAGGACGAAAAGAAAACUCUAUUCCAAGUAUGGCUGACAGAAACGCAUGUCGUGCUUCACGCAUCAUGACUGCAAGGAGGGUAGCGACAGCAGCAUCGGGGCCAACACAGCCGGAAAUGUCGGGCGGUGGGAGUUCAAUAAUGUCAAAAAAUUUGGGGGUGGCGGCUGCCUUGAGAAGCUCAGACUCAGUCUUGGAAGUAGGAGAUGGGAUGGCGAAGAUCGUCACGGUGAAAUUCCGGUGGGUGACAAGUCGUUUGCGAGUUCGAAGGCGAGAAUAAGGUGGCCGAGGCCUGGGCUGCAAAGUAUGGCAGCAUGUGGCUGUGAGCUCAUGGUAGAAGGAGAGUGAUGGCUUUAGCCCUUAGUGCACCGGUUGGGGUUUUUUUUUUUUUUUUUUGAACAAAAGUGCACCGGUUGAGCUUUAAAUAGGGACAACGAGCGAAUCAAAAUAAUCUUUGCUCUAAAAUCGUUGGACAAGAUUACUUUUAGAUUAAUACCUUAACUAAGAUUAAAAAUUAAAUUAAAUUCCUUAACCUCAUGUCCAUAUCAGCAUGCAUAUUCCACCCCGUACUUUAUUUUUAUUUUCGUUUUAGGAUUUUUAUUUUUGUAAUGUUGUUGACCUUAAAAACUACCAAGCCUAUGUGGCGCGCAGGUCGAGUAACUAAUUAGCUAACUACGUCUUUUGGUUGUAUGCGGGUGUGCCAACUCGUCGACCAAGCUCGACCGAGGAGUAAAAUUUGUUGAUGUUGCGUUGGGUGCGCUGCUGACUUCUGAAUCUCGCGACUGUGGCCGAGAAAUGAACACUCUCGGCCUUCGGGUUCUAGAGCCUGAAGACAAAGCUGCUAGUUCUACGAAGUUCAAUAUCAAAUUCGGCUUUCAAUGUGUCGAAUGUAAUAACUUGUAACACCUCACUUCGCCGAAAAGGCUAAUGAGAUGACCUCUGCCAAUAAGGAUUCAAAAAUUCUUCUCGACCGAGACUUGGAUAGAUAACCAGUCGACCUUGACGCAGUGCUGUUUAUCCAAACUGAAUGUGCUCCAUGGUCGGCUGAUUCUAAGGCAACAGUACUGUUUAUCCAAACUGAAGAUGUUCACCGGUUCCCUUCACAGUGUUGUUUAUCCAAACUAAAAUGUGUUGGCGAAAAAGAAAAUAAAAAAUCUCAAGAUGUUUGGAGGUUUUGCGUAGAGCGAGGGUUUGCGCAUGGCAGUUUGUGUGUUGAACUGGAGUCCCUCAACGUUGCACAGCCUUCAUGUAUUUAUAGCGUUGGAUAUCUACCUGGCACAACCUGAUGGUGCUUGUAGAGUCCAACUGCAAUUCUUUUCCACGGAACAAAAACUAAUCCACAUCAAAGAACUACCAUAUCCUUCAGAUAGAUGUUCACGAUUUUCCAAACUUCACAAAAGCCUAUCCAAAUAAAAGUCUUAUCACCAUAGCCUAGCCUAUCUAGGCUUGUCAUCGUUAUCCAAGACUAUUAAAUCUUAGACUUAUCACAUCACCAUAAAAAACCAAGCCUAUCUAGACUUCUCCAUAAUCCAUCCAUGCAUGCACCAUGACUUUUCAAACCUCAUCUACCAAGUUUCUCCAAUCUAAUAGCAAUAAUCCCAAGUUCACUCGAAUUGUACUUGUUCGUAGAUAUAAUGCUAAGAUAAUCCAAAUUACAAAAUAAUUACUAUGACAAAAACCAUAAUAUUAUCCUUUAACAAAAAUAUCUUCACUUUUCUAUCCGACGAUUGAAAAAUAUGCUUACUCAACGGCCUUGAUUACACAGGCCGAUGGUGUAAAUUUGGGUCCAAACAAAUGCAUUUUAUAAUUAACUCAUUUUCCCAAUACAAAUCUCAUAAAGAAAAUGAAACAUAAAAUCAAAAGUUUGUAUUUCUUUAAUGGCCUAUUUGCUUCACUUUAACUAGCAUAUGGGCACACGCACAAUUUUUUAUUUUUGUUUUUGAAAUAGAAGAAGAGAGGAAGAGAGGAAGAGAGUGAUAGAGAAUGUGGGAGUGAGAAUUUUUUUUUUUUUUUUAAUUAGAGAUGUUAGGAUUACAUGUAGGUGAUGUUUUGAAAAAAAACAACAAAAUUUGGUUUUGUGAAAUUUCAUUUUUGCCUCAUAUUUCUUAUUCAUAUUUUGUUUUAAUUAAAGUGUUAAACUGAUAAUUUCAUAGGAUUUUGGUUGACAAUGAAUGUUUUAUUAAUUAGUAAAGAUGAUCUAGGUUGCAAUCACCAAUAAUUUAAAAGAAAAUAUAAAUUUGCCCUCUCACAUAGAGCUAAGUGCAGUAUAGCGACAGCGACGGUAACACACUUGAAUUUCAUUUAAACAUUUUGUCAAAUACCUUCGGUGCAAAUUUUAAGGGACAAAUUCUUAAUGUUUCAUGAAUCUUUUUUACGACCGAAAGGACGACCGCCCCUCUUGCUCUAUAUGGCCACCGCUCAAAGAUGACAGAUAUUAACUGGCAAGGAAAGCCAAGUCUCGUGGCAAUUUUUAUCUUUAUUUGAAGAGGUGACAAAUACUUUUCUGUAGGGGAGCUUUCUGGGUGUCGUUAAUUGCGUAUUAUUUCAAGAGGCGUAUUCAUAUGAAAUGCUACUGAAGGAUCGGCAUCAGUGAUAGGUACAAUCAUAUUUAUCUCUUUCAUUCCUCUUAAAAUAUCUUUCUAUGAUAUGUUACCGAGAAAUAAAACUAUGACAAUCAGAUCAAUAAUUUUCUUCUGGUUAAUUUAAUUUCAUAUUUUCUUUUAAUUUCUUACAUAUGAGUAAAUAUGAGAAAUGUUGGAAUGAAAUUGAAUCCAUAAUCUUCUUCUCUUAAUUAAUUCUCUUUCCUGCUCAAGUCGGCUGUCACCACCCCCUCCCAGACAAGAGACUCCGCACCAACCUUUAAUUUUGAUAGAACUUAUUAACGAAGAAACUUGAGGUUUCAUCAUAAAAUCAAAGAAAAAUUAAUGAAAAUGACUUGAAAACUUUAAGUUUUAACGAUAAGAACAAAAUAAAGGGUAAAGUGAAUAGUACCAUGAUUGAUUUUUUAGUGUAAAAAUAUAAUUUUUCGUUAAAAUGAACAGUACCGGGAGUUUUUUGUUAAAAUUCCCUAAACUCAAUUGACAAUAUGAAGAGUAGUUCAAUCUCUUAUAAGCCCUUACAGGUUUCUCCUUUCAUUAAUGUGAGACUCUUUUAUCUUCACAUUCUCACAUGCUUUCUCAUUUGUGACGAAUUUUCAAGACAAACACGUGGACAACACGAAUUGGAUGACAUGAAGUAGACCUGUAAACAGGUCGGAUUUAUUGGGUUUGGGUCGGGUUUAACCCGACCCGUUAAGUUAACGGGUCAUCCGAACCCAACCCGUUAAGCUAACGGGUCACCCGAACCCGACCCGUUAACAAUUAUUUUUAUUUUUAUUUUUUGCAUAAAGUUUAUUUUUUGUCAUUAAGAUUUUACUAAAAUUACUAAAAUAUCCUCAACUAACGGGUGCUAACGGGUGUUAACGAGUCCUAACGGGUAUAACGGGUUGACCCAAAGUGACCCGUUAUUUAACGGGUUGUUAACGGGUUCACCCAUUAACGACCCGACCCGUUAAGUAUCCACCCAAAUACAAAUAUUAACGGGUUGGGUCGGAUCGAGUUAACGGGUUGGGUCCAAAAUGCCAGGCCUAACAUGAAGCACGUGCUGUUGGGUCAACCUACUCUGUUACCAUGAAGAAAACUGAGAUUCUACCAUAAAACUAAUUGGCAAUAUAGGGAGUAUCUCAAUCUCUUAUAAACCCUUACAAGAUUUAGUGAGAUUUUUUUACCUUGACAUUUUUACAAUUAAUAAUAAUUCAUAACUAGAAACCAACUACGCAAACAAAUAUCAUGGAAUUAGUGUACGAAGCUUUUACGCCAAUCAGUCAAAACAUGUGUGCAUGAUUCACGGUUUAAGGUACGUCAUAAUACAAUAUUGAUGUACUGAUAUACACAUAAUUAUAAUUAUUAGUUUAUAAUAUUAAAACAUAAGGCCUUAGAGCAACUCUACUGCAGUAAUUGCUCAGGCAAUUGGACAAAAGCAAUUAUUACUUUAGUAAAUAACCGGCCGAGUGUAUCUCUAUAUUGUAAGUGAAUUAUUAGGACAAUCGGUAUUAAAAAGUUAUUAAAAAAAAGCUAUUUUUUUAAUUAAUUAAAAAAAAUUAUGUUUUAUUUCAAAUAGGAUUUUUAACAAAUUAUGUCAUGCCACAUGUCAUUAUCCAAAUUUACAAUUUUUUCUGAAUAGAAUUUUUAUUAUAUUUUUAAGAAAUCCCCAUAGUGUUGCGUGUUAUGAUUCUGCAAGAAUUUUGUAGAUAUGUUUUCAAUAAGAAUUUUAACUAAUCUUGCCGCGCUAUGUGUCACUAUCCAAGAAUAUAAAUAGAUUAAUUUUCUUUAUUUUUUCAAUUUUUAAGUUGAAAAAAUAUGGACCAUUGAUGAUAUAGCCAUUACAUAAUCAAACGGCCCAUGAUACGCUCCAUGUACUUGUCAUUAAGAAUGAGUUCAAUAUUUUAAAACUGUUAGAAAUUUAACGGCACAUAAAUUUAGUCGUUGAAAAUUCAAUGUACAACAAUUGCCCACGUUGAGUGCACCUGCAGUGCGACUUUUUGGUCGGCUCACUCUUGACUCGUGUGCGAAAGUCCACAUGCCUGACACAAAAAAAAAAAAAAAUAUUAAUGUGGCUGAUGUCAAAUGGACUCAGGUGCAUACCUGCGACUUCUACAUAAUAACAGAGAAACUAAUAGAAACUAAGAUUGUUUUACGAAAUUAAAAUGAAAUAAUUAGUAAAUAUAGGAGGUUGAAAUAUUUAAAAUGUUGUAUGAAGUUGUAAUUGAGCACAAACUUCAAAAUGCAAAAUGUAAAUUACCCUAAGUUUUAAUAUCUAACCAAGAAAGAAAAGAAUUGGGUCGCAAUAAAAUCGUGGUUAACUAUCCUUCAUAGUUUGGGCUUUGGGCUUUUGAUGUAUAAAGUUGUUCAGAAGGUGCUUCUGUAGUCAAUUUUGAAGCCCUCAGAAACCAAUGGUCUGUUUUAAUAGGGAAAAUAUGAAUAAAGGUUAUAUUUUAAUAGGAGUUUCAACGAAACAUUCUUAGUACUGUUCACUUUAAUGAAAAAUGACAUUUUUACUCUAAAAAGUCACUCCUGGUACUAUUCGUUUACAACACGUUUUUGUCAUUUACAACUCAAAGUUUUCAAAUUUUUUUCAUUAGUUUUCCUUAUUUUAAUUUCCUCUUUUAGUGUAGCUCGUCAAAGCUCGAUGUGAGACAAAGAAAUUUUCAAGCUUACCUAAUACCUAUUUAACAAUCCGCAAAACCGGUUUUAAUAUCUUCUUUUGCAUAAGUGUGUAUAUCAAAUUCAAACCAAUCAAGCCAAAACAAAUUGAUAGCUUACCCUUAAUUAAGAUUUUGUUGGGAAUUUUGUGUUGUAACAUUACCUAGAAGUGAUGCAACUAUUAGCCGGGUAUGUCUUUCUAGCAUGUUUAUUGGUAGGAUAUUCACGUAAUUAGGCUUGGCUAGGGAGGCUGAAAUCCUAUCGUUCAGGACCUAGACCUGUCCAUUGGAGAUGGUCUUAGGUCUAUACGCCGAGCUACCUGCUUCUCAUUCAUUUGAUAUGAGUAGGAUAUGACAUAAUUAAGAACAAACAUGAGUGUUAAAGAAAACUUCAAUGAAUCAAGUUAUGCAGUACGAAUAUUAAUCCAUGUAUGAUAACAGAAUUGAUACCUCUCCUAAAAGGGGGACAUAUAUGUGUGUUUGACCAGAUCUAUUUGUAUGAUUGAGAACAAAAGAACAAAAUUCAUUUUACACAUGUUUGUGAGAUGCUAGUUUGCAUAAAAGUAAGAGAAUACACACCAUUCAACCAUAUAUUAUUGACGCUUAAACUUCACCAUACAAUAUUGAAAAAGGCUUUUUAAGUAAAAUGAUUGCUGAGAUCGACCUAACUCAUCAGUUUGAUCACUAUAACAUUUAUCGACUUUUAUGUCAUGGACUAAACUGAGGAGUUAAGUCAAAUCUCAUAGAUAAUUUUGGUUAAAACGCAUAUUGAAAAUAAGAAGCAUAUUUGAGAGCCUUCAUUUUCCGCAACUCCCUUAGCAUUUUAUUUGAUUGCCACUUGAUAUUUGAGACAGUGCAUUAUAUGAUGAACAACCUACGCUCAAUCCUUUGGCAGCGUUUAAUUUAAGCUCUUUAACCCUACCUCUUAUUGCCUGACCAUUUUUGUCCACCAUGAUCUUUCUCAUCAUUUCCUCUAUCUCUUCUCUCCCAACCACAGUCUUCAAUGGUAGCACUUUUGAUCUGACACAACACCAAGUUCCCCUGUCAAAAUUUUAGCCUUCAUCCUCUGCUCUGCAUGGAGUGGCCAAACGAUCAUCGGCACUUCAUUGGUGAUGCUCUCGAGGCUUGAGUUCCGUUCACAAUAUGAUCAAAAUCCUCCUAUUGAUGGAUGACUUAAAAUGUCUACUUGAGGGGCCCAAAGAGGCAUAACCAACCCAACGUCACGGAUCCGGGUCAAAAAUCCUUUUGGUAAAUAGGUUGAUGGGUCAUCAUCUCCAUUUCCUUAAAUAAAGGUACUAAAUGUAAAUAAAAAUAUCAAAUAUAACACAAUAUCGAUAAUGCUAAAAUAUUGUAAAUCAGUACAUUACACUAAUAAGAUUUUUUUCUCUAAAGAUAACAAUUAAAAUUUAGUGAUAUAUAUUAGGUAAGUUUGAGAAUUACCUAAAGUGUAAAAAAACAGCAUCUGCGGAUUUAGAUGGUGG